Molecule: ribosomal RNA, 450 nt
Filed under: uncultured bacterium
Lineage: Bacteria
Description: SSU rRNA
Rfam family: Bacterial small subunit ribosomal RNA
Source: RNAcentral
AGAACGAACGCUGGCGGCAUGCUUAACACAUGCAAGUCGCACGGGCAGGGGAAACCCUGUCAGUGGCGGACGGGUGAGUAACGCGUAGGUAUCUAUCCUUGGGUGGGGGACAACGGCUGGAAACGGCUGCUAAUACCGCAUGAUGACCGAGGUCUAAAGGCGCAAGUCGCCUGGGGAGGAGCCUGCGUACGAUUAGCUUGUUGGUGGGGUAAAGGCCUACCAAGGCUACGAUCGUUAGCUGGUCUGAGAGGAUGAUCAGCCACAUUGGGACUGAGACACGGCCCAAACUCCUACGGGAGGCAGCAGUGGGAAUAUUGGACAAUGGGCGCAAGCCUGAUCCAGCAAUGCCGCGUGUGUGAAGAAGGUCUUCGGAUUGUAAAGCACUUUCGACGGGGACGAUGAUGACGGUACCCGUAGAAGAAGCCCGGCUAACUUCGUGCCAGCAGCCGC